CCUACGGGCGGCAGCAGUGAGGAAUAUUGGUCAAUGGGCGCGAGCCUGAACCAGCCAAGUCGCGUGAGGGAAGACGGUCCUAUGGAUUGUAAACCUCUUUUGUCGGGGAGCAAAAGACGCCACGCGUGGCGUUCCGAGCGUACCCGACGAAACAGCAUCGGCUAACUCCGUGCCCGCAGCCGCGGUAAUACGGGGGAUGCGAGCGUUAUCCGGAUUUAUUGGGUUUAAAGGGUGCGCAGGCGGAAGAUCAAGUCAGCGGUAAAAUUGAGAGGCUCAACCUCUUCGAGCCGUUGAAACUGGUGGUAUUGAGUGAGCGAGAAGUAGGCGGAAUGGGUGGUGUAGCGGUGAAAUGCAUAGAUAUCACGCAGAACUCCGAUUGCGAAGGCAGAAUACCGGCGCUCAACUGACGCUCAUGCACGAAAGUGUGGGUAUCGAACAGGAUUAGAUACCCGUGUAGUC
This 459-nucleotide ribosomal RNA is filed under the name uncultured bacterium. RNAcentral's name for it is "partial 16S ribosomal RNA". It matches the Rfam family "Bacterial small subunit ribosomal RNA", at positions 338 to 795 of the family's 1533-position model. The record is from RNAcentral.